GAAACUGCGAAUGGCUCAUUAAAUCAGUUAUCGUUUAUUUGAUAGUACCUUACUACUUGGAUAACCGUGGUAAUUCUAGAGCUAAUACAUGCUAAAAACCCCGACUUCGGAAGGGGUGUAUUUAUUAGAUAAAAAACCAAUGCUCUUCGGGGCUCCUUGGUGAUUCAUGAUAACUUAACGAAUCGCAUGGCCUUGUGCCGGCGAUGGUUCAUUCAAAUUUCUGCCCUAUCAACUUUCGAUGGUAGGAUAGUGGCCUACCAUGGUUUCAACGGGUAACGGGGAAUUAGGGUUCUAUUCCGGAGAGGGAGCCUGAGAAACGGCUACCACAUCCAAGGAAGGCAGCAGGCGCGCAAAUUACCCAAUCCCGACACGGGGAGGUAGUGACAAUAAAUACUGAUACAGGGCUCUUUUGAGUCUUGUAAUUGGAAUGAGUACAAUUUAGAUCCCUUAACGAGGAACAAUUGGAGGGCAAGUCUGGUGCCAGCAGCCGCGGUAAUUCCAGCUCCAAUAGCGUAUAUUAAAGUUGUUGCAGUUAAAAAGCUCGUAGUUGAACCUUGGGCCUGGCUGGCCGGUCCGCCUCAC
Molecule: ribosomal RNA, 582 nt
Filed under: uncultured fungus
Lineage: Eukaryota; Fungi
Description: SSU rRNA
Rfam family: Eukaryotic small subunit ribosomal RNA
Source: RNAcentral